AGAUGGCGACCGGGGCACGGGUGAGUAACACGUAUCCAACCUGCCGAUAACUCGGGGAUAGCCUUUCGAAAGAAAGAUUAAUACCCGAUGGUAUAAUCAGACCGCAUGGUUUGAUUAUUAAAGAAUUUCGGUUAUCGAUGGGGAUGCGUUCCAUUAGGCAGUUGGUGAGGUAACGGCUCACCAAACCUUCGAUGGAUAGGGGUUCUGAGAGGAAGGUCCCCCACAUUGGAACUGAGACACGGUCCAA
RNAcentral lists this ribosomal RNA (247 nucleotides) under uncultured bacterium. Its description in RNAcentral is "partial 16S ribosomal RNA". It matches the Rfam family "Bacterial small subunit ribosomal RNA", at positions 86 to 334 of the family's 1533-position model. The record is from RNAcentral.